AACGAACGCUGGCGGCAUGCCUAACACAUGCAAGUCGAACGAGACCUUCGGGUCUAGUGGCGCACGGGUGCGUAACGCGUGGGAACCUGCCUUUAGGUUCGGAAUAACUCAGAGAAAUUUGAGCUAAUACCGGAUAAUGUCUUCGGACCAAAGAUUUAUCGCCUUUAGAUGGGCCCGCGUUGGAUUAGCUAGUUGGUGGGGUAAAGGCCUACCAAGGCGACGAUCCAUAGCUGGUCUGAGAGGAUGAUCAGCCACACUGGGACUGAGACACGGCCCAGACUCCUACGGGAGGCAGCAGUGGGAAUAUUGGACAAUGGGCGAAAGCCUGAUCCAGCAAUGCCGCGUGAGUGAUGAAGGCCUUAGGGUUGUAAAGCUCUUUUACUCGGGACGAUAAUGACGGUACCGAGAGAAUAAGCCCCGGCUAACUCCGUGCCAGCAGCCGCGGUAAUGUGACU
RNAcentral lists this ribosomal RNA (455 nucleotides) under uncultured bacterium. RNAcentral's name for it is "bacterial SSU rRNA". It matches the Rfam family "Bacterial small subunit ribosomal RNA", at positions 29 to 530 of the family's 1533-position model. The record is from RNAcentral.